RNAcentral lists this ribosomal RNA (494 nucleotides) under uncultured bacterium. RNAcentral describes it as "partial 16S ribosomal RNA". It matches the Rfam family "Bacterial small subunit ribosomal RNA", at positions 28 to 507 of the family's 1533-position model. The record is from RNAcentral.
GACGAACGCUGGCGGCGUGCUUAACACAUGCAAGUCGAACGGUGAAGCGCCUUCCUUUUUGGUGGGUGUGGAUGAGUGGCGAACGGGUGAGUAACACGUGAGUAACCUGCCCCCUUCUUCUGGAUAACCGCAUGAAAGUGUGGCUAAUACGGGAUAUUCUGGGUCUGUCGCAUGAUGGGUCUGGGAAAGAUAUUGUUUCGGUGGGGGAUGGGCUCGCGGCCUAUCAGCUUGUUGGUGGGGUGAUGGCCUACCAAGGCGGUGACGGGUAGCCGGCCUGAGAGGGUGGACGGUCACACUGGGACUGAGACACGGCCCAGACUCCUACGGGAGGCAGCAGUGGGGAAUAUUGCACAAUGGGCGCAAGCCUGAUGCAGCGACGCCGCGUGAGGGAUGGUGGCCUUCGGGUUGUGAACCUCUUUCGCCAGUGAAGCAGGCCUGCCUCGUUUGUGGGUGGGUUGACGGUAGCUGGAUAAGAAGCGCCGGCUAACUACGUG